GGAUCAUCUUUUUUUCUCUAUGACCGUUUGAAGAAGACCGUUUGAAGAACAAUUAUAACGUUCCAAGUCUCUCUCUCUGAUUUCUCUCGUUAUUUCGAAUCCCUAAAUUUUUAUUUUCGGCAAACAUCUGAAGAAGUUUAUGAUCACCGACGAUUGUUUUCUCCGGCGACUAUUCGACGAUCAGACAAUCGAUUCCCUAAUUAAGAUGUUCUUUGCCUGAAAGAAGAAGAAGAAGACGGUUUAUCUUCGCUCUUUGUGAUUCGAGUUUCUCUUGGUAAAUUGAAUUCCCAAAGUCAGAAGUUACUUUGAAAUUUUAGUGGUUUUGUUAAUUUUGAAGGUCUAAUCAUCUGUGAUCUCUCUACUCUAAGAGAAGAUUAUCAAAGAUAUGAGUUCCGCUUCUCU
Molecule: long non-coding RNA, 402 nt
Organism: Arabidopsis thaliana (thale cress)
Lineage: Eukaryota; Viridiplantae; Streptophyta; Magnoliopsida; Brassicales; Brassicaceae
Product: other RNA
Exons: 2
Source: RefSeq